GGGACGUGCCGGUGGUCAAACCGGAGGAAGGUGGGGAUGACGUCAAGUCCUCAUGGCCUUUAUGUCUAGGGCUACACACGUACUACAAUGGCCGGUACAAAGGGCAGCCACUCAGCGAUGAGGCGCUAAUCCCAUAAAGCCGGUCUCAGUCCGGAUCGCAGUCUGCAACUCGACUGCGUGAAGUUGGAAUCGCUAGUAAUCGUAGAUCAGCAUGCUACGGUGAAUACGUUCCCGGGCCUU
RNAcentral lists this ribosomal RNA (240 nucleotides) under uncultured Desulfovibrio sp. RNAcentral's name for it is "partial 16S ribosomal RNA". It matches the Rfam family "Bacterial small subunit ribosomal RNA", at positions 1145 to 1382 of the family's 1533-position model. Lineage: Bacteria; Pseudomonadati; Thermodesulfobacteriota; Desulfovibrionia; Desulfovibrionales; Desulfovibrionaceae. The record is from RNAcentral.